GAUGAUCGUGGACGGGGAGACUAU
RNAcentral lists this non-coding RNA (24 nucleotides) under Cricetulus griseus (Chinese hamster). Lineage: Eukaryota; Metazoa; Chordata; Mammalia; Rodentia; Cricetidae. The record is from RNAcentral.